AUAUUCAAAUCUAUCUUGAAUUUUUCUGUCCCAUUUUUAAUAAGAGUUUAUUUUGUUUUGUUUUUAUUUUUAUGGAGUUGUUCCUCCUAAUUAAUGAUUUAUUUUAUUUUUUUUUAUAGAGUGAUUAGUUAUGCUAUUUUAUUAUUUUGAACAUAAGUGUGGUACAAGGUUCAAAUCUUUUUCUCUAAUAUAAUAGGAAGUCAAAAUUUGAAGGUUAUCAAAUUAUGCUCGUAGAAAGGUCAUUGAGUUAAAUAGUGGUAAAAGAUAGUUAUAAAUGUAUUGUGCUUUUUGUCGAUCGAUCAAAUUAAAUGCUCUGUCAAUAUAA
Molecule: unclassified non-coding RNA, 325 nt
Filed under: Hevea brasiliensis (rubber tree)
Lineage: Eukaryota; Viridiplantae; Streptophyta; Magnoliopsida; Malpighiales; Euphorbiaceae
Source: RNAcentral